This 2902-nucleotide ribosomal RNA is filed under the name Escherichia coli UMEA 3052-1. RNAcentral's name for it is "bacterial LSU rRNA". It matches the Rfam family "Bacterial large subunit ribosomal RNA". Lineage: Bacteria; Pseudomonadati; Pseudomonadota; Gammaproteobacteria; Enterobacterales; Enterobacteriaceae. The record is from RNAcentral.
UUAAGCGACUAAGCGUACACGGUGGAUGCCCUGGCAGUCAGAGGCGAUGAAGGACGUGCUAAUCUGCGAUAAGCGUCGGUAAGGUGAUAUGAACCGUUAUAACCGGCGAUUUCCGAAUGGGGAAACCCAGUGUGAUUCGUCACACUAUCAUUAACUGAAUCCAUAGGUUAAUGAGGCGAACCGGGGGAACUGAAACAUCUAAGUACCCCGAGGAAAAGAAAUCAACCGAGAUUCCCCCAGUAGCGGCGAGCGAACGGGGAGCAGCCCAGAGCCUGAAUCAGUGUGUGUGUUAGUGGAAGCGUCUGGAAAGGCGCGCGAUACAGGGUGACAGCCCCGUACACAAAAAUGCACAUAUUGUGAGCUCGAUGAGUAGGGCGGGACACGUGGUAUCCUGUCUGAAUAUGGGGGGACCAUCCUCCAAGGCUAAAUACUCCUGACUGACCGAUAGUGAACCAGUACCGUGAGGGAAAGGCGAAAAGAACCCCGGCGAGGGGAGUGAAAAAGAACCUGAAACCGUGUACGUACAAGCAGUGGGAGCCUCUUUUAUGGGGUGACUGCGUACCUUUUGUAUAAUGGGUCAGCGACUUAUAUUCUGUAGCAAGGUUAACCGAAUAGGGGAGCCGAAGGGAAACCGAGUCUUAACUGGGCGUUAAGUUGCAGGGUAUAGACCCGAAACCCGGUGAUCUAGCCAUGGGCAGGUUGAAGGUUGGGUAACACUAACUGGAGGACCGAACCGACUAAUGUUGAAAAAUUAGCGGAUGACUUGUGGCUGGGGGUGAAAGGCCAAUCAAACCGGGAGAUAGCUGGUUCUCCCCGAAAGCUAUUUAGGUAGCGCCUCGUGAAUUCAUCUCCGGGGGUAGAGCACUGUUUCGGCAAGGGGGUCAUCCCGACUUACCAACCCGAUGCAAACUGCGAAUACCGGAGAAUGUUAUCACGGGAGACACACGGCGGGUGCUAACGUCCGUCGUGAAGAGGGAAACAACCCAGACCGCCAGCUAAGGUCCCAAAGUCAUGGUUAAGUGGGAAACGAUGUGGGAAGGCCCAGACAGCCAGGAUGUUGGCUUAGAAGCAGCCAUCAUUUAAAGAAAGCGUAAUAGCUCACUGGUCGAGUCGGCCUGCGCGGAAGAUGUAACGGGGCUAAACCAUGCACCGAAGCUGCGGCAGCGACGCUUAUGCGUUGUUGGGUAGGGGAGCGUUCUGUAAGCCUGCGAAGGUGUGCUGUGAGGCUUGCUGGAGGUAUCAGAAGUGCGAAUGCUGACAUAAGUAACGAUAAAGCGGGUGAAAAGCCCGCUCGCCGGAAGACCAAGGGUUCCUGUCCAACGUUAAUCGGGGCAGGGUGAGUCGACCCCUAAGGCGAGGCCGAAAGGCGUAGUCGAUGGGAAACAGGUUAAUAUUCCUGUACUUGGUGUUACUGCGAAGGGGGGACGGAGAAGGCUAUGUUGGCCGGGCGACGGUUGUCCCGGUUUAAGCGUGUAGGCUGGUUUUCCAGGCAAAUCCGGAAAAUCAAGGCUGAGGCGUGAUGACGAGGCACUACGGUGCUGAAGCAACAAAUGCCCUGCUUCCAGGAAAAGCCUCUAAGCAUCAGGUAACAUCAAAUCGUACCCCAAACCGACACAGGUGGUCAGGUAGAGAAUACCAAGGCGCUUGAGAGAACUCGGGUGAAGGAACUAGGCAAAAUGGUGCCGUAACUUCGGGAGAAGGCACGCUGAUAUGUAGGUGAAGCGACUUGCUCGUGGAGCUGAAAUCAGUCGAAGAUACCAGCUGGCUGCAACUGUUUAUUAAAAACACAGCACUGUGCAAACACGAAAGUGGACGUAUACGGUGUGACGCCUGCCCGGUGCCGGAAGGUUAAUUGAUGGGGUCAGCGCAAGCGAAGCUCUUGAUCGAAGCCCCGGUAAACGGCGGCCGUAACUAUAACGGUCCUAAGGUAGCGAAAUUCCUUGUCGGGUAAGUUCCGACCUGCACGAAUGGCGUAAUGAUGGCCAGGCUGUCUCCACCCGAGACUCAGUGAAAUUGAACUCGCUGUGAAGAUGCAGUGUACCCGCGGCAAGACGGAAAGACCCCGUGAACCUUUACUAUAGCUUGACACUGAACAUUGAGCCUUGAUGUGUAGGAUAGGUGGGAGGCUUUGAAGUGUGGACGCCAGUCUGCAUGGAGCCGACCUUGAAAUACCACCCUUUAAUGUUUGAUGUUCUAACGUUGACCCCUAAUCGGGGUUGCGGACAGUGUCUGGUGGGUAGUUUGACUGGGGCGGUCUCCUCCUAAAGAGUAACGGAGGAGCACGAAGGUUGGCUAAUCCUGGUCGGACAUCAGGAGGUUAGUGCAAUGGCAUAAGCCAGCUUGACUGCGAGCGUGACGGCGCGAGCAGGUGCGAAAGCAGGUCAUAGUGAUCCGGUGGUUCUGAAUGGAAGGGCCAUCGCUCAACGGAUAAAAGGUACUCCGGGGAUAACAGGCUGAUACCGCCCAAGAGUUCAUAUCGACGGCGGUGUUUGGCACCUCGAUGUCGGCUCAUCACAUCCUGGGGCUGAAGUAGGUCCCAAGGGUAUGGCUGUUCGCCAUUUAAAGUGGUACGCGAGCUGGGUUUAGAACGUCGUGAGACAGUUCGGUCCCUAUCUGCCGUGGGCGCUGGAGAACUGAGGGGGGCUGCUCCUAGUACGAGAGGACCGGAGUGGACGCAUCACUGGUGUUCGGGUUGUCAUGCCAAUGGCACUGCCCGGUAGCUAAAUGCGGAAGAGAUAAGUGCUGAAAGCAUCUAAGCACGAAACUUGCCCCGAGAUGAGUUCUCCCUGACUCCUUGAGAGUCCUGAAGGAACGUUGAAGACGACGACGUUGAUAGGCCGGGUGUGUAAGCGCAGCGAUGCGUUGAGCUAACCGGUACUAAUGAACCGUGAGGCUUAACCUU